This 659-nucleotide ribosomal RNA is filed under the name uncultured marine eukaryote. RNAcentral's name for it is "bacterial SSU rRNA". It matches the Rfam family "Eukaryotic small subunit ribosomal RNA", at positions 1 to 722 of the family's 1831-position model. The record is from RNAcentral.
AACCUGGUUGAUCCUGCCAGUAGUCAUAUGCUUGUCUCAAAGAUUAAGCCAUGCAUGUCUAAGUAAAAACUAAAUAAUGGUGAAACUGCAAAUGGCUCAUUACAACGGUUAUGAUGUACCCGGGAUCUCCGUUGGAUAUUUCCAGUAACACUAGAGCUAAUACAUGUUUCUGCGUUUAUUAGUUUCAAACAAAAUUGUUGCUGAGUCAUGGUAAACGGUUGAUCGAUUCGACAUCCCGGAACAGUUUCCGCCCCAUCAGCUUCGAUGGUUGGGUAUUGGCCUACCAUUGCAACAACGGGUGACGAGGAAUUAGGGUUUGAUUUCGGAGAGGGAGCCUGAGAAACGGCUACCACAUCUACGGAUGGCAGCAGGCGCGCAAAUUACCCAAUGCAGACUCUGUGAGGUAGUGACGAGAAAUAAUAAAGUUGGGCUUCUGUCUAACUAUUAUAAUGAGGAAUAACUAAAAAUCAUUCCCUAUUAGCAACUGAUGGGAAAGUCUGGUGCCAGCAGCCGCGGUAAUACCAGCUUCAGUANCAUAUACUAAAAUUGUUGCAGUUAAAACGUCCGUAGUCUGUACGUCGUCAAUGACUUUACUACUGUGCCUUCCUGUUUUUGUAACGGUUGGGUAACUGUUAGUUACUCCCUUGAUCAAUUANAAA